This is a long non-coding RNA of Haliotis rubra (blacklip abalone), 617 nucleotides long. RefSeq lists it as uncharacterized. The record is from RefSeq and is a predicted model, not a curated record. The transcript has 3 exons. Lineage: Eukaryota; Metazoa; Mollusca; Gastropoda; Lepetellida; Haliotidae.
UUAUCUAUCCAGUUUUAAAUGGAUGCAAUUCAAAUCAUAAAUCUACGUUUAAGUAAACUUGUGAAUUCUUGUGAUCCUUAGCAAGGUGUGAGUAGUUAUAUAAUCCCUCAGAAUAUCAAAUGGUUUGUCCCUAAGGCAGAACACUUGUAUAUAUAAUGUUUUCAGGUAGGACAAGUGAAACACAUUUAGAAAUAAGAAGAUGUGACAUUUGUAGUUUACAUUUAUUCAUUUAACAAUUUAUACUCAUUGAUUUGAUUCACUCAGGAACCCUUCCCUCUGUCUCAGACGACAUCGUGGACAUGACUGUUUGUGUCAGUUUCUACGACGAACCCUGCGAAAAGCAAGUUACAAUCCAGUUUAAGAAUACUCGAUGCACCAAAGGAGAUGGAACUGCUGCGUGGAGCGACCUAUUUAUGAGAUAAUGGUUCGACCCGUCUGCGAGUAGAAGUUAAACAGUCACCUGAAAAAGGAGCCUGUCCUUAUAAGGAGUCUGGAAUAUAAUCUGGCCUACAUGUGGUCGGUUGUUCGUUCAUUACACAUGUCAAUAAUACAUGUAUGUUGAAGAGAAAUGUAUUUGCAUAUAUUUGCAUAUAUCCAUAUAUUUCAACGUACUGAAU